Molecule: ribosomal RNA, 253 nt
Filed under: uncultured bacterium
Lineage: Bacteria
Description: partial 16S ribosomal RNA
Rfam family: Bacterial small subunit ribosomal RNA
Source: RNAcentral
UACAGAGGGUGCAAGCGUUAAUCGGAUUUACUGGGCGUAAAGCGUGCGUAGGCGGUUUGUUAAGUCGGAUGUGAAAGCCCUGGGCUCAACCUAGGAAUUGCAUUCGAUACUGGCAAGCUAGAGAACGGUAGAGGGAGGCGGAACUCCAGGUGUAGCAGUGAAAUGCGUAGAUAUCUGGAAGAACACCGAUGGCGAAGGCAACCUCCUGGGCCUGUUCUGACGCUGAGGCACGAAAGCGUGGGGAGCAAACAGG